Molecule: long non-coding RNA, 387 nt
Organism: Fukomys damarensis (Damara mole-rat)
Lineage: Eukaryota; Metazoa; Chordata; Mammalia; Rodentia; Bathyergidae
Exons: 3
Source: RefSeq, a predicted model, not a curated record
AAACUGUAGAGAAGUGCUGCCUAGGAGAACUCUGUGUGAUGCUGGAAAUGUUCUAGAAUUGUCCUGCCCAAUACAGAGAGUCACUAGAUACAGGUUACAAACUGGAAUUCAGCUCAUGACAAAACUACAUUUUCCUCAGCCACAGAAGCGGAGCACAGUCUGCAGGGAGGUUAUGAGUCAGGAUGGUCUGAGAAACUGCUGCUGCUGCUGCUGCUGCUGCAGUGAUUCCCAAGCAGAAGGAAGGAGAACCAGAGCCGGGCCGACACGAGCAAAGCCUGCACAGAGUCCACUGCCUCCCAAUAGUGCCCCAGGGUGGGGACCAAGCUUUCAACACAUGGACCUUUGGAGGAUGUGCAAGAUCCAAACUACAGCAGUGUGCCACUGAGA